UCACCUUCAACUGACCUUUAAAGAUGGCUUUUAAAACAUUUUAAUCCAUCUACGACUGGACUUUAAAAGUAUUGUUUAGGUUCUAUUUAUAGCAUUACGUUUGAACAAUAAUCUAAAAAGCUGCCCUUCAAUUUAAGACUUUAAAAUUCCAUACUUUGCAGUCCUGUCUCGGCAACUCCUUUUAAAAUUAGCUUUCUCACUCCAUGAAGAAGCUUCAGCUCUUAACCUCCGUCAUGUUCUAAUAUUAUCUUUUUUCUUCUUUCUUCCUUUCUCAUACUAUUUUUUAAGGACGUCUCCAUUUUCCCCUAAAAUAAGACCUUCCUAUUAAUUAUCAGAUCUACUCUCACGAAUUUAACUCAAAACUACAGCUCAGUAUUUUCGCUAAUUUAUAAUUCCUAGAGAAUAAGAGUAAUCCCUAUCUUAACAGAAAAACUUAUCUGCGGUCUCCUCAAGAAGCGUUUCCUGCCUCUCAGCCGUCUCUGCGCUCGCUGCCUCAAUGCCUGCCUCCCGACCCGCAGCGCGCGGCGUAUUUAUAGCCCAAGGACACCUCACACCCCCGUCACCCAAUAACCCUCCGCCGCCUUUGUGAGGGAAGCAAAAAUAGUUCCUCGGAAGGAGUUAAAAAUAGAAUCUGGUUUAUAAGACUCUAGGUUUUUCCUUAACAGUUUAUAUAACUUGCUCGCAAACUCUGUACCCAGAUGUUUAAGUAGAUUUGAACUGAAAACUUGAGUAAAAACAAUGGAAACCACGUUUAAACAGACCAUCAAACAGCUGACAAAAACUCAGAAUUACUUGGAAAUGUUUUAGUAGCUUUUAAAAUACCUUCUGUGUUUCCUUCGAGUACAGUAGGUACAAUUUAGUGCUUUGGAGGCUAGGAAAGUAAAACUAAGUUUGCUGAUGGCCUUCAUUUCCAUUAUGUAACAGAGCUUCAGCCUCACAAAUAGAGCGGAGCCAUCUUAGAAGGACCGAAGGGUGGGAGUUUCGCCCCCAUGGGCCGCAGGUCCUGAGGAUUAUAUCACACCGUCUUGAUUGCCAUUUUAUUCGUGAGAUCCGAUCAGCCCAGGUGAUCUAUGUAAGAAUUGGACUAAAUGUGGAAAUCCACUUCUGGAAAAUGUCUGACAGCCACUCUUUACCACUGUUGCCUGCAACAGAGCUGGUCACGCAUCGCAAGGGAUUAGGACCAAAAUUGAGGCAUCCAGCACCCCGUGUUUCCCACCUGGGUGGAAAAGCGGAGGGAAGCGCCAGGGCGGAACUGGCUGCUGUGUCUCAAGGACUCUAGGAGAAGCCUCGGUCCCCGGGGCGGCAAAGGGGACCCGAGUGAGGCUUGAGGACUUAGAAAUGACAAUGGCGCCAGGGAGCGUCCCAGAUACCGGCUUCCAAGCGGCUAAAGCGGCUGAGGCGCGAAGAAGAAGCAGCUGCCUCGCUUCAGAGAGACGGGCACUUGCUGUCCCCUGCCGAGCCUGGAACAGGCUGCUCGCCGGGACCACGGCCUCCUACUGCCUCCUCUCACCACUUCAAGAGACACCAUCUCCUAAAGACUCAAAGGUGAAAAGCAAAACCUGAACGCGGCCAUGAGCCGCAUCCAGGAAAAGAAACACCUGCGACGGCUCUGCGCCUCCCCCCGCCCCAGUGCAUGCCUCCCUCCUGACACCCCUUCAAAGGCAUACGGGGACACAGGUCCCCGCAGCCUCGUGGCCACUGCUUCUCAUCACGCUGGCUGCACAUCCCAGCCGCAGGAGCACCAAGUCAGACGGGGAAACAACCACAUGGCACAGCCCUGCUGCUCAGGACAGGCUCAGCGCUGACAAGACUGGUGGUGGAGAGAAAUUGCCAAGAUGCUAAGAAACUUGAGAAGCCACCUCUGCAGCAGGGCUGGGACGGGUGAGGGGAAAAGAACUUACUUUCAUUUUAUACUUUUUCCAUG
RNAcentral lists this long non-coding RNA (1924 nucleotides) under Sus scrofa (pig). Its description in RNAcentral is "lncRNA (ENSSSCG00065036490.1)". Lineage: Eukaryota; Metazoa; Chordata; Mammalia; Artiodactyla; Suidae. The record is from RNAcentral.